UACAGAGGGUGCAAGCGUUGUUCGGAAUCACUGGGCGUAAAGCGCGUGUAGGCGGUUUCCUAAGUCAGGUGUGAAAUCCCCCGGCUUAACCGGGGAAGUGCGCCUGAAACUGGGAGGCUUGAGUAUCGGAGAGGAAAGGGGAAUUCCCGGUGUAGAGGUGAAAUGCGUAGAUAUCGAGAGGAACACCUGCGGCGAAGGCGGGUUGCUGGGCCGACACUGACGCUGAUGCGCGAAAGCCAGGGGAGCGAAUGGG
Molecule: ribosomal RNA, 253 nt
Filed under: uncultured bacterium
Lineage: Bacteria
Description: partial 16S ribosomal RNA
Rfam family: Bacterial small subunit ribosomal RNA
Source: RNAcentral